Molecule: long non-coding RNA, 1012 nt
Organism: Haliotis rufescens (red abalone)
Lineage: Eukaryota; Metazoa; Mollusca; Gastropoda; Lepetellida; Haliotidae
Exons: 2
Source: RefSeq, a predicted model, not a curated record
ACUGUCGUGCAGAUUUCAGUCGAUUGCAGGAUUUGCAAAGCAUGUGCACCGCCAACUCGUUGUCAACAGAUAUUUUUCAAAUCAUUUCAUGUUUUUAAUCAAGGUGCUCGCUUGAUUUGAAGCACUUAACGAUGUAAAACCCGUUUUAUCACAAUAUAGGUCUUCAUUAUCGAUCAGAUCGUCUUGACUGGGCGCCGCCAUUUCGUUUGAAACAAAUGCAAGUGGUACGAGAGGUGGAAUCUGAUUGGUCCAUAGCGAGAGGUUUAGAAUGGCCAUAACUUGUAAUAACCACUGGUGGCGCUACGAUCGAGCCCAGGAAUUCCAGCCUUGUUCGGUAAGGGUGGAAACUGGACUUUUAUAGUCAGUUAACUCUCUUGCCUCGGGAAGAUGACGAACCGGAUGUCGAGUUCGUUACGCGAUUUUGAUUGGACUAUGCAUAAACUCGUUAGACCAGCCAAAGUGUAACUCUAUAAUUGCAGCCUAGUUCGGCAAACGUGGAAAUUUAUAAUUCUGUUCGAGGUAUAUAGAUAUUGCUGUACGUGCCCACAUCGCCAGUACUCGAGGGUUUGUAUACACUUCAUCAACUUCAUGUAACUCCAUCACAAAGCUAGCCCAAUAGUCAAAGGCGCCACAAGUUGCAAUGCAGAAUUACAUGCCGUCAUGGGUUCGAAUCCCCGUUCGCCUGAUUAUGUUUCUUGGUUUGUGAGUACCAUUAUAGUAUCAUUCGAUGGACUGCACUGUCGUCCCUCUGGAUAGAAGAAACCGUGCAUUCUUUCUUACACCAACAUCAUCUAUUUUUUAUGUAAAUAUUGACCUCGGAAAAGUACAGAUUGAAAUGCUGUAAUUGUUGAAAUAAAACGCGGGAUGUAUAUGAUUGCCAAUGUAUGUUCGAUGAGCGUGUAUGAACGGAACACCAGGAUGUGUAGCAUGUAUUUGUGGUUACUCCUGUUAAAUUGAGGCUUGUAUAGACAAGAUAACAACACCCGAAGUGUAUAAUAAAUUAUAUGUUUUU